This 237-nucleotide long non-coding RNA is filed under the name Elaeis guineensis (African oil palm). RNAcentral's name for it is "long non-coding RNA (EGUI_LNC067706)". The record is from RNAcentral. Lineage: Eukaryota; Viridiplantae; Streptophyta; Magnoliopsida; Arecales; Arecaceae.
AUUCAUCUCUUGGAACUUUUGAUCCAGAAGAUCCUCUCGAUUACGAAUCUCGAGGGUCUUCUGAUAAAAUGAAGGUAGGAACCCUCCGGGGGUGGAAUCGUGAUCAGACAGAGGGCUCUCCGUCCUCUGCUUCUCCUUUCCGGGGGAUACAGGGCGACUAGCCCAAGUGGGCCGCCCGAUCGUCGGAUUCUGAAACUCCGACGAUACUCUUUCCAGCCGCACAGAUGCCUGCGGCUG